GUGACCUCAAAUCAGGUAGGACUACCCGCUGAACUUAAGCAUAUCAAUAAGCGGAGGAAAAGAAACUAACAAGGAUUCCCCUAGUAACUGCGAGUGAAGCGGGAAAAGCUCAAAUUUAAAAUCUGGCAGUCUUUGGCUGUCCGAGUUGUAAUCUAGAGAAGCAUUAUCCGCGCUGGACCGUGUACAAGUCUCCUGGAAUGGAGCGUCAUAGAGGGUGAGAAUCCCGUCUUUGACACGGACUGCCAGGGCUUUGUGAUGUGCUCUCAAAGAGUCGAGUUGUUUGGGAAUGCAGCUCAAAAUGGGUGGUAAAUUCCAUCUAAAGCUAAAUAUUGGCGAGAGACCGAUAGCGAACAAGUACCGUGAGGGAAAGAUGAAAAGAACUUUGGAAAGAGAGUUAAACAGUACGUGAAAUUGCUGAAAGGGAAACGCUUGAAGUCAGUCGCGUUGUCCAGGGAUCAAUCUUGCUUUUGCUUGGUGUACUUUCUGGUUAACGGGUCAGCAUCAAUUUUGACUAUUGGAAAAAGAUCAAGGGAAUGUGGCAUCUUCGGAUGSGUUAUAG
Molecule: ribosomal RNA, 559 nt
Filed under: Calonarius olympianus
Lineage: Eukaryota; Fungi; Basidiomycota; Agaricomycetes; Agaricales; Cortinariaceae
Description: eukaryotic LSU rRNA
Rfam family: Eukaryotic large subunit ribosomal RNA
Source: RNAcentral